Phalacrocorax carbo (great cormorant) is the source of this 876-nucleotide non-coding RNA. Lineage: Eukaryota; Metazoa; Chordata; Aves; Suliformes; Phalacrocoracidae. The record is from RefSeq and is a predicted model, not a curated record.
CUUGUUAGUAUUUAGCUUUCAAAAUGGUCUGGAAAGCUGCCUGGUGACAUGGAUUUCUUCUAGGUUUAAUACAGGUUUGAUUAGCCAGGAAAUCAUUGUCUUUUUCUAGGGAGCCGGAUCACAGACCUACAAAAUUCACAGUAAACAAAAGCAGGCAAAGAAAAAAAUCUUAUCCGUGUUUUUCUGGUUGGAAGCACUGCAGUAGGCUCUAAGACUCCUAGCUUCAGCAGCCAGUACCCCGAGCAAGGCUGUACAUGCAAGGCAGGUAAAUCCUCACAAGGACUAGAUAGGCAAAGACCUUCAGGUUCCUAACUUAGCUUUCUACGUACCUGAAUCUGGUCUUGGAUCAUGGUAUGCUUCAAUUCCUCAUCUGACUUAUCUGGACUCCUGCCCAGCAAGGUGAACUGGUUACACCGUGAGAGCUGGAGACAAUACAGCCACAGAAAAAGGCAUGUUCUUUCCGUACAGCUGAAGUUGGGUAAUGCAGAGAGGUCUGGUAAUUAUUUCCAUGUUGCUGUGCAGAAGAGGGAUGCCGAGAGACCAUCACUCCAAGUGCUGCUGCCCUCCAUCAAGAGCUAGCCAUGAAACAGCGCUCGCCAAGCAGCCACACAACGAACAUUCAGGGCCACACGCUCAGGGCUAGAGUCUCAAUGAAUUCAGGGAAGAAGCUCCCAAGGAAAGGAAGAAAAUUGUACCACAAUCUGUAAUAUUUGGGGUAUUAAGAUGUUAAGACAUAUUCACAGCACAAGAAAUACUCAUUUGCAGACCAAGAAGUAAACUGUGAGCAGUGUGUCUCUGACAUCGCUGGAGUAACACUGUAACUUGUAGGAAUAAAUGCAAAAUCAAAUAAAAUUUAAAACUUUUCCAUUUUCUUGU